RNAcentral lists this ribosomal RNA (401 nucleotides) under Trinickia sp. RNAcentral's name for it is "bacterial SSU rRNA". It matches the Rfam family "Bacterial small subunit ribosomal RNA", at positions 801 to 1208 of the family's 1533-position model. Lineage: Bacteria; Pseudomonadati; Pseudomonadota; Betaproteobacteria; Burkholderiales; Burkholderiaceae. The record is from RNAcentral.
CUAAACGAUGUCAACUAGUUGUUGGGGAUUCAUUUCCUUAGUAACGAAGCUAACGCGUGAAGUUGACCGCCUGGGGAGUACGGUCGCAAGAUUAAAACUCAAAGGAAUUGACGGGGACCCGCACAAGCGGUGGAUGAUGUGGAUUAAUUCGAUGCAACGCGAAAAACCUUACCUACCCUUGACAUGGACGGAAUCCUGCUGAGAGGUGGGAGUGCUCGAAAGAGAACCGUCGCACAGGUGCUGCAUGGCUGUCGUCAGCUCGUGUCGUGAGAUGUUGGGUUAAGUCCCGCAACGAGCGCAACCCUUGUCCUUAGUUGCUACGCAAGAGCACUCUAAGGAGACUGCCGGUGACAAACCGGAGGAAGGUGGGGAUGACGUCAAGUCCUCAUGGCCCUUAUGGG